RNAcentral lists this non-coding RNA (46 nucleotides) under Schistosoma margrebowiei. Lineage: Eukaryota; Metazoa; Platyhelminthes; Trematoda; Strigeidida; Schistosomatidae. The record is from RNAcentral.
AUCUAGCUGACGGGUCCCAAAUUGGACGAAAACGUGCUUCCUGGAU